Molecule: unclassified non-coding RNA, 331 nt
Filed under: soil metagenome
Description: partial contains 5.8S ribosomal RNA, internal transcribed spacer 2, and large subunit ribosomal RNA
Rfam family: 5.8S ribosomal RNA (bases 1-120)
Source: RNAcentral
GAUGAAGAACGUAGCGAAAUGCGAUAAGUAAUGUGAAUUGCAGAAUUCAGUGAAUCAUCGAAUCUUUGAACGCACAUUGCACCCCCUGGUAUUCCGGGGGGCAUGCCUGUUCGAGCGUCAUUUCACCACUCAAGCCUCGCUUGGUAUUGGGCAACGCGGUCCGCCGCGUGCCUCAAAUCGACCGGCUGGGUCUUCUGUCCCCUAAGCGUUGUGGAAACUAUUCGCUAAAGGGUGCUCGGGAGGCUACGCCGUAAAACAAACCCAUUUCUAAGGUUGACCUCGGAUCAGGUAGGGAUACCCGCUGAACUUAAGCAUAUCAAUAAGCGGAGGA